GACCUCCGAGCCGGAUACAUGUGUAACUCAUAAAUAUACAAAUAUACAAAGGAUGUGAGGCUGCCUAUUUCAUUCCAGUUCUAAUUUCGAUUGCUUUGUCUUUUUUAAAUAUUGAUGGAGGACACUACCCACUUGGGUCCUUCGAACCGGAUACUGACAUAUCCACCAACUUCGGUUCCCAGUGUGCACAGAUCCGCCGCCGCGUCCGCCUGCAGCCACCCACUCGCGUUUUGGGUGCUGAGUGUUUUACAGCCUCCGGCACUUGCCUUCUUUUCUCGGCCCAAAAGGGGCUCGGCGAGGCGGCCUGCCUCCUGGGCUGCCAUUGCCCCUGGUCCUCCGUAGCGGAGUCGUGAGCUCGGGGCACGAUUUUCCAUAGCACAUGCUGCGUUCUGGUCGCGGAACGUGGCCGCUUGUUGGCUUGUUGUCUUUGUUAGUGGUAGCAGUUAGUUGACUGCACUUACCACUAAGUUAAGAUGUUUUUGUCUCCGCAGUCUGUCUGGCCGAGGUGUAUGCGCAAUUAUCGUGGACAGGCGAGUCCCAGGCCCGCGGAUCGGGAUCCAGCAGCCAGAGCGACUCCAUCGGAGCUGGAACUGGAAUGCCGCUGCUUAGUUUUUCUUUUUAUUGAUUUAUGAUUUGUUUAACAC
Non-coding RNA from Drosophila melanogaster (fruit fly), 644 nucleotides. NCBI's taxonomy places the organism in Eukaryota, Metazoa, Arthropoda, Insecta, Diptera, Drosophilidae. The record is from Ensembl.